CUUCAGGGACCCCAGCCAGAGCGGCCUGCCCUCAGCCCGGUCCUGGCCGUAGGUCGCCAGCAGAGCACCUGCCUC
This 75-nucleotide antisense RNA is filed under the name Streptomyces cellostaticus. RNAcentral describes it as "ASpks TB sRNA". It matches the Rfam family "ASpks TB sRNA". Lineage: Bacteria; Bacillati; Actinomycetota; Actinomycetes; Kitasatosporales; Streptomycetaceae. The record is from Rfam by way of RNAcentral.